GGAUGUGAGGGCAAUUUGGCUGCAACAUCUGUCACCCCAUUGAUCGCCAGGGUUGAUUCGGCUGAUCUGGCUGACUAGGCAGGCGGGUGUCUCCUUCCGCACCUCUCCAUGUGCGUCCCUCCCGAAGCUGUGCACUCAGUUGAAGAGGACGGCCUUCCUCGAAUAGAAAUUGAGAGGAAG
This 180-nucleotide small nuclear RNA is filed under the name Erinaceus europaeus (western European hedgehog). RNAcentral describes it as "7SK RNA". It matches the Rfam family "7SK RNA", at positions 1 to 176 of the family's 331-position model. From Rfam's summary of the family: 7SK was discovered as an abundant small nuclear RNA in the mid-70s but a possible function has only recently been suggested. Two independent studies have found that 7SK RNA binds the CDK9/cyclin T complex (known as elongation factor P-TEFb). P-TEFb activates transcription by phosphorylating the C-terminal domain of RNA polymerase II. Lineage: Eukaryota; Metazoa; Chordata; Mammalia; Eulipotyphla; Erinaceidae. The record is from Rfam by way of RNAcentral.